RNAcentral lists this ribosomal RNA (536 nucleotides) under uncultured Chitinophagaceae bacterium. RNAcentral's name for it is "bacterial SSU rRNA". It matches the Rfam family "Bacterial small subunit ribosomal RNA", at positions 85 to 619 of the family's 1533-position model. The record is from RNAcentral. Lineage: Bacteria; Pseudomonadati; Bacteroidota; Chitinophagia; Chitinophagales; Chitinophagaceae.
UGGGUGGCGACCGGCAAACGGGUGCGUAACACGUACGCAACUUACCCAUUACAGGGGAAUAGCCCAGGGAAACUUGGAUUAAUACCCCAUAUUAUAUAAGAUUGGCAUCAGUCUUAUAUCAAAGCUUCGGCGGUAAUGGAUGGGCGUGCGGUUGAUUAGAUAGUUGGCGGGGUAACGGCCCACCAAGUCUACGAUCAAUAGCUGAUGUGAGAGCAUGAUCAGCCACACGGGCACUGAGACACGGGCCCGACUCCUACGGGAGGCAGCAGUAAGGAAUAUUGGGCAAUGGACGCAAGUCUGACCCAGCCAUGCCGCGUGAAGGAUGAAGGUCCUCUGGAUUGUAAACUUCUUUUAUCUGGGGCGAAAACCAUCCUUUCUAGGAUGCUUGACAGUACCAGAGGAAUAAGCACCGGCUAACUCCGUGCCAGCAGCCGCGGUAAUACGGAGGGUGCAAGCGUUAUUCGGAUUUACUGGGUUUAAAGGGUGCGUAGGCGGGCAGGUAAGUCAGUGGCGAAAUCCCCGAGCUUAACUCGGGA